CUAGAAGAAAUAUGGAACUGGCAAUGAAGGGUGCAGAUAUCACGUACAUAGAUUUGAAGGAAGGAAACACUAGCUAAUUGAUUGGCUGACACAGGCUAUAAGGAGAAACCUUCCAGAAUACUGCAGACUGAUGAAAUCCAUGGUGAUGUCAUUUGAUUCCUCAAGCUCAAUCAAUGGUCCAAAUGUAAGAAUUAGGUAGUUUUGUCACUUAUUUGAUUGUAAAAGUUCAUUUUUUUAUAUUUUAUUGCCUUAGACCUGAUUGUUUUUUCCAAUUAUACCAAGAUUUCACUCCUACACUCACUUACUCGAUGAGAAAAUACCCUAGAAGAAGGGCUGAUUUGCAGAUGAGAUGAGUAAUUAUCAUACCGACUCGCUUUCAUCCUUACCCAUCCUAGGGAAACUCUUUUUAGGAAGUUUUGCAAUAGCAAGGUGGAAGUUUAUACUUUAUAACUCGAUUUUUUUAUUUUUUUUUUCACGAUUUAAAAAACGAAUGUAAGUAUAAAUAAGCGACUGAUACGAAAGAAACUGUGAUAGAUUUUUUAGUCUAUCUAUAAGAGGAGAUUGUAUGAAAAAUGUAACCAAUUCUUCCGUUUCUUUGGGACACUAGCAAUCUGUCAAGAGUUUCAAAUUUAGUACUGAUAUUUUAGCAAUAAAUCCAAUAAAUUUGGGUACUGUGAUUGGUGCACUGAUCUUUCUGGAAAGAAUGUGGG
Molecule: long non-coding RNA, 710 nt
Filed under: Olea europaea subsp. europaea
Lineage: Eukaryota; Viridiplantae; Streptophyta; Magnoliopsida; Lamiales; Oleaceae
Source: RNAcentral